UGAAGCUUACUGGUUUUUAUUUAUCUGUUCUAUCAGAAGUGUAAACUCCUUGAGAAAGCGCUGGCAGAGCUGGUUUUUUUCCAAAGUGCCGGACAUCAUAGUAAGCCAUACAGGUUCAGCUAUCCUUGGAACAGAAUAUAAGUUCCAGAUAGUUCCUCUAUAGAUACCUGAAUUCUCCCAGAGCUUCCAUCAAACGGCUGACAUAAAACUGGACUCGGAGACUUGAUUCUGCUAUUUUCCUACAGGAGAUCAUAGCCUUAUUACCUUUUCAAUUGCACUCUUCAGCCUGUUCAUGUGAGAUUCAAACAGGGGAAAAUGAGAAAAGAAGAAGUCCUGGAAAUUCCUUUGUGCUUCUUCUUUCUCACAUAGGGAAAAGAUGAUGCUUAUGGCAAUUUUCUUCCUCCUAACCAUAGCUGGAUUAGAGCUACAGGUUUCUUCAGCCAAGCUGAAUGUCUCAUCAGUUGACCU
RNAcentral lists this long non-coding RNA (468 nucleotides) under Homo sapiens (human). RNAcentral's name for it is "long non-coding RNA NONHSAT200639". Lineage: Eukaryota; Metazoa; Chordata; Mammalia; Primates; Hominidae. The record is from RNAcentral.